RNAcentral lists this ribosomal RNA (481 nucleotides) under uncultured bacterium. RNAcentral's name for it is "partial 16S ribosomal RNA". It matches the Rfam family "Bacterial small subunit ribosomal RNA", at positions 28 to 507 of the family's 1533-position model. The record is from RNAcentral.
GAUGAACGCUGGCGGCGUGCUUAACACAUGCAAGUCGAACGAAACACCUUAUUUGAUUUUCUUCGGAACUGAAGAUUUGGUGAUUGAGUGGCGGACGGGUGAGUAACGCGUGGGUAACCUGCCCUGUACAGGGGGAUAACAGUCAGAAAUGACUGCUAAUACCGCAUAAGACCACAGCACCGCAUGGUGCAGGGGUAAAAACUCCGGUGGUACAGGAUGGACCCGCGUCUGAUUAGCUGGUUGGUGAGGUAACGGCUCACCAAGGCGACGAUCAGUAGCCGGCUUGAGAGAGUGAACGGCCACAUUGGGACUGAGACACGGCCCAAACUCCUACGGGAGGCAGCAGUGGGGAAUAUUGCACAAUGGGGGAAACCCUGAUGCAGCGACGCCGCGUGAGUGAAGAAGUAUUUCGGUAUGUAAAGCUCUAUCAGCAGGGAAGAAAAUGACGGUACCUGACGAAGAAGCCCCGGCUAACUACGUG